RNAcentral lists this small RNA (2447 nucleotides) under Arabidopsis thaliana (thale cress). RNAcentral describes it as "ATSL090280". Lineage: Eukaryota; Viridiplantae; Streptophyta; Magnoliopsida; Brassicales; Brassicaceae. The record is from RNAcentral.
UUUAUGAGCUUCAGUCAAGCUCUUGCUCUGCCUCGCUGGAGGUACAUGUUCACCAAAGUGAUACAUGCUAGUGUCGAACGCCACUGCCCUAUCUUCAUCCAUCCCAUCCGAAGCGGCUUCUUCAAGAAGAUCGUCCUCAUCCAAUGGCGGAGCGUUCUCAUAGUAGAGGCGUCCAACCUCAGGCCUAAAAUCAAUGUUAUCUCCCUCUAUUAUCCUUGUAACCUCAGGGCUAGGGAGAAGGAUGUUAGCUCUCCUGUCUGUAGAGUGCUCAAACCUGAACCUGUGGAAAUCGUCAACCAUUGCAAACUCCAGGAAUUCGCAGUGACGUAGGUGCUCGAUAUCCAUUGCUCGUGGCUCGAGUCCAGCAGAAAGGAUUGGGACUCCACAAGCUAUCAAAAUCGGUGUCACAACGCCACCUAUGCACAGAGCGCCUCGUGCUCUCUUGCGAUUAUUGCUGAUAGCCCAGCUCUUGUAUCCACACAGAUGGAUCAGAAGAAGUAUAGAGAGAGGUGAGUCAUUGAUUUCACCCUGGAGGGACAUGCCAUUCUUAGUUUGGCGGAGAGUUCCCUUGAGGGCCAUUGCGAUCAUUUCCAUAUCAGAGUUAGUGACAGUCCCUGUAAUCUCUCGGGAGUAGAGUACAUUGGCUAUAGAACGCUGGAAGUACCUGAUGACAGGGUUGCGUAUCUGAUUGCUCUUUGACCUGGAAGUAUUCAACGGUACAAAGCUGCCAAUGGUGAUCCACAAUUCUUUCAACUCUUCUCUUUCAUACUUGGGCUUAGAUCCCGUUCCACUGGGGAAGCCAAACAAUCCUUCCAAGCGCUUGAUUGAUAACCUAUACUCAUGACCAUACACAGAAAAUCGCAAGAAUCCCAAUCCUUCACAAUCCAACUCAUCAGAGGUCAUACCUUGGUAGAGCUGUACUCGCAGCGUGGAGAGGAAUUGUAUUGUCUCAUCUUCAUACGCUACAUACGGAUAAGCCAUCAGAGUGUCCAGAUGACAACUUUGGUACAGGUGCUGAACAUCUUCCAACAAUCCGAGUUGUGCAAGUGAGGUCGAGCACGGAUACCUCGUGCUACAGAACUCAUUCAGCUUGAAAAGCCUAACAUAUUCCUCAGCAGGCAAUACGUCGGGCUUGUGCAGAAGUUUGGUAGCUCUGCGAGUCUGUUCAGGCAUGUACUCGUCUUCCAGAUCUUCGUCUAUAAGCUCAUACCUCUCUGUCAUAGCUCUCUUCCCUCGGGCUAUCUCAGCUUUCCUUCUGAAGCUUUCAUAUUCUCUCUGUUAUCUCUCUGGCCUUGAAGAUGACGACUCUGUCUCAUCCAUGUUGUAGUCAGGAUCAACAGAAGAACUGCCACUGUAAUUGCUCAUGAUUCUCCUGUAGAGAUUUAGAACUCAAAGCUCAAAUGUCAAUAGGUUAGUCUCAAAGAUAGCAAUGAAACCAAAAUUAUUGUCAAUAGGCAAUGAAAUAGAUUGAAUUGGUCGAGUACAAUUCUGUACUCGAGUAACCUGAGCUGUUCCUGAGCUUAGACGAAUUGGAUCGAGUAUCUUCUCAGAGGUCGAGUUGUAAUGCUACAGCAGGUCGAGUGAAUCGUGGAGGUCGAGUGAGUCGUGAAACCUAGAGGUCGAGUAACUUCUCUGAAGUUGGAAGGCUCUACUGAAUUGAUGAACAAGAAGCCGAGUAGAUUUUGCAGGGGUCGAGUGCUUUCUGGUGGUCGAGUGAGUUGUUGAAGUCGGCUAGGGCGACGUCGGUCGAAUGCCGCUAUGAGACCGGGAAACGAGGUCGAGUAGCUUCUUUUGAAAGAGACGGCGGUUGAUGUGGAUGAAUUGGUCGAGUAUAUCAAAGGAAUCGAAGGAAGUGGUCUGGUCGGGUGACGGAGGGAAUGAGCUAGUGACGGCGGCGCGGAGGUCGAGUGGGUUUCAGAGGUCGAGUGAAAUUCUCAGGAUCGAGUAGCUCUUUGGACGGCGAUUCGUGGUGUAGAGAGAUUAGAGUGUCGGCGGUGAAAUGAAAAGAGGAAGGUCGAGUGAAUUUCGUGAAGUCGAGUGAUGCUUCAAAAUGAGUGGUCUAGGUUGAGUUUUAGAUUCUCUCUCCAGCUUAUCCUCAACGCGUGGUCCACACUCUGUUGACUGAGAAAAUUUACAGAAAACCUACUGUAAACUGCAGGAAAUUUCUGCAAGUCUCUGUAGCUUCUGUUGGUCGAGUAAAAUGAUGAUUUAAAAGUUUUUGGGUUUUAAACAUCACACAUACUCGACCAAUGUACUCGAGUGCAAGGUCUCCAGGUGCAACAGAAGAUUUUCAAAAUUUUGUACUCCAACGGGCUGUACACUCGAUCUCCACGUCUUCUGUAGAGUAAAAGUUUUGAAUUUUUACUCUAUCUCCACGUUGUUCUCUUGUCUCUGAAAAACCCCAAACACAACUAAAACAAAUAAAAAAUAACAAGAAAGUAAAAAUU